This 774-nucleotide ribosomal RNA is filed under the name Leptomyrmex pallens. RNAcentral describes it as "small subunit ribosomal RNA". The record is from RNAcentral. Lineage: Eukaryota; Metazoa; Arthropoda; Insecta; Hymenoptera; Formicidae.
AUAAUUAGUUGGGGUCUCUUUGGUUUAAAUAAUUAGGGGCGUGAGUCGGGUAUAAAGAUAUGAUUAAGAUUAUGGAAGAGGGUCUAGGGGAUUAGGACAUAGGAAAAUUAAUUAAUCACAAAUUAAUUUGGUGCCAGCAAUUGCGGUUAGACUAAGUGUGAGAGUGAAUUGAGGCGAGUUAGGUGCUGAAUUUGAGGGAGAGUAGGCGGGGGGCUUAGGGCGUAGAAUUUCGGUGGAAAGUGAUUUACGGUGGGGGUUUCCGCUUGUUUGAAUGAGUAGGUACAGGAUGCUCAGGUAUAGAAUAGGAUUAGAUACCCUAGUAUUAGAGAGUAAGAUAUGGAGUAAUGGAGUAGUAAAUGUAGAGCAUUAAAUUCAUAUAAUUUGGCGGUAUUUUUAGAAUUAGGGGAACUUGCUUGGUAAUUGAUAUUCCACGAUUAGGGGUACUUAAUCUAGUUGUUUUUAUGUAUUGUUGUUUAAAAUUUAUCAUUUGAGUGUGGGUUAUGUGUAUAGCCUUGAUAGAGGAUGAAUUCAAAUCAAAAUGUAGGGUGGUUAAGGCGGGGUGAGUUACAGUGGACUUGGGUCGGUGGAUUUAAGAUUUUAAGGUUUUAAUAAAAGAGGAUUUAAUAGUAAGUUUAUUUAUAUAAAUAGGUUGAAGUUUAUAAAGAAUGCGUACAAAUUGCCCGUCACUUUCAUUUAAAGAUGGAAAAAGUCGUAACAUAGUAAAUGUACUGGAAAGUGUAUUUAGUUGUAAGUUUUUAGUUUAAAGAAAAUAUU